GGGUGCAUAGCUCAGUUGGGAGAGCGUCUGCCUUACAAGCAGAGGGUCGUGGGUUCAAGUCCUACUGCACCCA
This 73-nucleotide transfer RNA is filed under the name Clostridiales bacterium. RNAcentral describes it as "tRNA-Val". It matches the Rfam family "tRNA". From Rfam's summary of the family: Transfer RNA (tRNA) molecules are approximately 80 nucleotides in length. Their secondary structure includes four short double-helical elements and three loops (D, anti-codon, and T loops). The record is from RNAcentral. Lineage: Bacteria; Bacillati; Bacillota; Clostridia; Eubacteriales.